This 14398-nucleotide long non-coding RNA is filed under the name Sorghum bicolor (sorghum). RNAcentral's name for it is "long non-coding RNA (SBIC_LNC011425)". The record is from RNAcentral. Lineage: Eukaryota; Viridiplantae; Streptophyta; Magnoliopsida; Poales; Poaceae.
GCUGAGUUACCUUUGCUUCAGUACAUGCCGCUGGUUUAGCAAGCCAACCAUUUCUUGCUGCCAUUUAGCUACCCUUUAUAAUGACUUGUAAUUCAGAAAUGACACACCCCCCAUUUCGCCGAGCUCUCAAUUGAUGAGUUCAGUUUACCUGGAACUACUAUUUUUCUGUUAAACUCUUUCAGAAUUCUUUGUUCUUGUCCAGUAUGAAUUGUAUGCAGUAUUCUUUAUUCACCAUUGUUGGAACCCUAGGUGUGCCUACACAACCUGCAUGCCGCCAGAGCCGGACCUAGCCAGCGGGGAGCCAGAUCCACCCAUAGGGAGGCCGAAUCCGGGCCGCCAACCACCACCAUGAGGAGCACGACAACAGCGCAGGUCUUCACCUGGAGAGGGAGAGAUAGAUAGAGGGAGGGAGGGAGGGAGGGAGAAAGAGAGAUAGAGAGGAAGGGAGACGCCUGGCCACCGCCAUCCUUGCCCUCCACCAGAGCUCUGGUGGCGAGCUUUGGCAGCGGCCAAGAUAGAAAGGGCGAGGGAGGGCCUUGAGUGCGGGGGGUGACAGGCUAAUAGCGCCACCCGAGUCACCCUCCGGGGAGAGCGACGUGGGGGCCAAAAGGUGUGCUGGCCCUACCAUUGUAUAAGUUAUGCUAGUAACUUAUAACGUUUCUUUUGUUCUAUGCAUAGAUUAAGUAGUUGUGUUUACUGCAUGGCAAUUUAAAAGGACAACUCACUAUAGAAGUUGUCUAUUAAGUUGACUCAUAAUUACAUGGAACUACAAGGUGAUGUCGAACUUCUAGGGGAUAGCUCGAAGAUAUGAAAAGCAUUGUGAUGUAUCAAGCGAUACUAUGGGGAAAAAAAGCUAUGGAUCCAUAUUAUAGAAGAUGCAAGAUCAAGAACUUAAAUCUAUAAGAGAGUAGGAACUGGAUAAGACUUGAACAGUGGUUUUAUCACCAAUAAUAGAGGUCAGAAAGAUUUGACUGAAGACCACUCCUACUUGAUUUGGCCGUAAUUGAAAUUGCGUGACCACGAAAAGAGAGAAAAGAAAGAUAAGAGUUAGCUUUAAUCAGAGUUAAAGUUCAUCCCAGUAGAUAGAAUAAAGACGCGUCAAGUAAAAACAGCUAUAAUAAUGAUCAAAUAAAUGAAACUAUUAAAAAAGGCAUUUGAAUAAAAAUUUAAAUACUCCUUCCAUCCCAAAUUAUAAAGUAUUCUGAGAAUCUUGCAUAAAGCAUCUUAAGUUUGACAAAAAUUGUAAAAAUAAAUUAUAAAGAUUUGUGACAUCAAAUAAAUAUAUUAUGAAAAUAUAAUUAACGAAGAACCUAAUGUUAUUUAGUUAAUAUCAUAAAUGUAAAGCAAAAUACUCUCUAAGAUUCUUAUCAUAUAAAUUUAUCUUAUCAUAUAAAUUUGGUCAAACUUAAAAUACUUGGACUCUCUAAGAUUCUUGGAUGUCUAAAUUGAUAUGGGAUGGAGGGAUUACAAUAAUAAGCAAAAUACUCUCUCCAUUUCCAAUUAUAAGACAAUUCAAAAAUCUUGAAGAUUCUAAGCAUCUCAAAUUUAUCUAAAAUUAUAGAUAAAAUUAUAAAGAUUUAUGACAUAAAAUAAAUAUACAAUAAAAAUAUAAUUAAUGAAGAAUCUAAUAAUACUUAGUUAGUAUAAUAAAUGCUAUUAUCUUAAUAUAUAUGUUUGAUUGGACUUGAGAUAUUUUGACUUUCCAACAUUUUGAGAAUAUAUUAUUAUUUGGAACGGAAGGAGCAGCUAUCUACACUCUUUGCACGGGCGGCCCGGGCUCUACAGGUGUCCAAGUGCUUAUCAUCACCAAUUACGAUAACUCUGAAUUUUAGGUUGGGUGCUUUGGUGUACAAUUCUACGGGGACAUCUUUGACUUUACCGUGCAUAACGAUCACGGUACAUAUUGCAGCACCAGCGAAGGGAUGUCCACCUUCCUCCAUCGGAUGUCUGAUAGUCACACUGCUGUCACUGCAACAACAGCGGCACCAGAUGCCGACACCACAUGCCGAAUCCGAAGCCCCCGCCAGGCCCCGGCCCUGAGUGAACUGAUCGAAAAAAUUAGUAGGAGCCUGUAUAUUUCUUUCCAAAAUGAUGACGCUAACACUCUGACAUGUCCGAUGGCAUUUUGCAGUUUAGUGAUCCGCGCGCGUGCAUGCUUCGUCUGCCAAAAACCCAGGUGCUGAACCCCGCUGUUGUACUAAAAGAAGGCCAUGCUGAUUUACCUAUUUUUGGCUUAACCUUUGACGUUCAUUUUAAAAAUGUUUGCAAUCAAUUAUGCUGCUUUUGAUCUUGACCGAGUAUCAAGCGCGUGUCCAUAUUUCGGUGGUAACACAAGAACCUUGCAAGCUUCCAGUAAAAACAUACAGACCAUUGAAUGAGGUUCUAUUUUAAUGAAAUGAAUAUCUUUGGGUGGACUUAGUGGCCAUAUGGAUGCAUCGUUUAGCAUAUCUCUAGUUUCGAAAAUUGAAAAAUGCGAAGCUUACCAAUUGAUCAAAAUGUGAAGCACCUAUUAUCUCAUUAAACCUCUCGCUUUGGAGAUUUAGAUGUUGCCACUCAAGAUGUGUUAGUCCCUCUGUAUUGUAUAGUAGUGUCUGGCUAAAACUCUGUUUGAUGAGAGUAAUAUAUAUCUUUUCCCGUUUGUGGUGGCUAGCUAGUCCGGUUUUCCCUUUGUAAUAUUUCAGUGAAGCAAAGCGAAGUUAGCGGCUUUGGGGCCGUGAAGAGGAAACUAGGAAAGAGCAUCCUGGGAGCCUGACGCCCACGCUUGGGGACAAAAGAAGAGGCUGACUGGAUUGCGAAAUUCCGUGUUGUAUUCUGUAACAACUGAUGAUUCUUCGUUACUUGUGGAUGAUGGGCAAUCCCACAUUCGGAGUCUGGUACCGCUGAGGCCUGAACACUUUGUGGGCAUGAAACGAAGUGCCAGGCCUGGAAGCUUUCUUCUUGCCUCCGGGCUCCGGCCGCCAGUCCCAAAGAAACCGAAGAAGACCUGAACCUGCAGUGGUAUUGACUGUGAUAGCAAUCAGUGGUACCUGGAGUAGUGCUAGCCUUUUAGCUCAUCUGCCGCCGCAGCCCGCAGGCAGGCAUGGACCGACCGACGCAUGGCGCAGAUUUUGUUCGUGACACCGACUGCAACAACAGCGCGCCACCAGAUGCCAACGCCACAUGCCGAAUCCCAAGCCCCCCGCACCCCCCCCCCCCCCCCCCGAGUGCACUGAGGCCUUGUUUAGUUUCAAAAAUUUUGCAAAAUUUUUUAGAUUCUCCGUCACAUCAAAUCUCUAGACGUAUACAUAGAGUAUUAAAUAUAGAUAAAAAUAAAAACUAAUUGUCCAGUUUGGUCGGAAUUGACAAGACGAAUCUUUUAAGCCUAGUUAAUUCAUAAUUGGACAAUAUUUAUCAAAUACAAACGAAAGUGCUACUAUUUCUAUUUUACAAAAAAAAAUUUUGGAAGUAAACAAGGCCUGAAAAAACGUGUACUAAGUAAGAACUGCAGUACUGGGCCUUGUUUAGAUCCAAAAACUUUUUGGAUUUUGACACUGUAGCACUUUCGUUUUUAUCAUUAUCCAACUAUGGAGCAAUUAGGCUUAAAAGAUUCAUCUUGUGAUUUACAGUUAAACUGUGCAAUUAGUUAUCUUUUUUAUCUAUAUUUAAUGUUCCAUGCAUGUGCCGUAAGAUUCGAUGUGAUGGGGAAUCUUGUAUAGUUUUAGGUUUUUGGGUGUAUUGGCCUUAAGAACCUGUAGUUAAACUGACGACGACGCUAACACUCUGACAUGUCCGAUGGCACUUUGCAGUUCAGUUCAGUGAUCCGCGCGCGUGCAUGAUGGCCUCGUCUGCGCCAAACGCAGAUGCUGAAGCAGAGAGAGGCGAUCGAUCAGAUCCAUCCAAAACGCUCCUCCAGCUAUCUGCUGUGUUGUCGCGCGGCACAUCGUUUUCGCUCGAAUAAAACCUGUAGUUAUGACGGUAUCGAUCGGCGUUUCAGUUGUAGGCAAGGCAGAGGCAGCAUUCAAGUGUCCGCAUCAGGGUUGACAAACUUAGGUAGCGAGAGCUAGCAACUGUGUGUUGUAGGUAUCGUAACGUACUGUACCCAAAAAGACAACUUAAAGUAGAAGCAUGUGGGAAGUAGUACUUAUCACGGUGCUGAUUGGGUAGAUCUGCAGGGAGGAGGAGUGACCUAACCUAACAUGGUUUCCCUACACUACAUACACUAGCAAGCAAGCAGCAGGAGCUCGCAGCGGUACGUACUACGUGGUCUCCACUCCAGGAAGGCGCCUACUCCAUGUAACAGCCACCAACAUAUAGCAGUAGCUAGCAGACCGAUGUACCUCUACCUCCUGCGCAGGCACGGCACGGACCAUCCAGUAGUCUUCUCCUGUACCUGUAGUAGUUACGAGUAUGAAACAUGCAUGCAUGCAUGCAUGCGCCCAUGCAUCCCCCCGCCCCCGCUAGUGAUUUGUGUGGGCGCCCUUCCUGUUAUUCUAGGAGUAUGUAUCUACUACUAUCAAAGUGUUUUAUUUUAACGUGGGGGAGUCGUUGUUUUAUCACACCAAAUGCAGCCAAGUACGGCACUGUGCGUUAACAGCGGCACAUGGCGGCAUGGCACGGUGAAAAAAAAGAAGGGAAAAAAACCCCACGAGGACACAGUGGCCCUGCUACUGUUUGGUUGGGUUAAUGGCGGGCCGGCGGGCGGCGACCCAACGCCGGCCGAAUCUUUGCCGCUACCAGUAGCUAGUAGUAGUAGUAGAUCUCAGGUCAGGUUGUGAUUGGAGAUGCUUUUCUUCCUGAUCAUGCAGUCAUCUCUCUCCCUCUACAGUGCGUGUCAGGCAUUAUAAUACGCCGUUCUGGGUGGUGGGUGCAGAUCUAACGCGGAUCCACACCCACUUUGCGAUUGCGGAUCUGGAAGAAAGGUGAGCAAUGCAACAGGCGAAGGAAGCCACAGCACCACCCCGCAGCAUGCGCCCUUGUUUGUUCUUCUGUUAAAUAUAAAAGCUUCGAUUGAUAGCGGCCCGGCCCGGCCGGGCGGGGCAACACAAAAGGCGUCCAAUCCUUGAGUGGCCGCUUAACGGUUUCGGUUGCGUGCGAAAGUAGCGUCGUCAUCUGCACGUACGUACUGGUAGUAGUAGUAGUAGAUUGGAUUUCAGAUAAUGUAUUUUAAGGAUGCACAGUAUUAAGCAGCUGCUGCAUCAUUACGACGGGCGGCCUCGCUCGUCUCGCUCUCGUCUCCGUGGACGGCAACCACACCACGCGUGCUGCCGCGACUGCAAUGCGGUUGUUGCACUUGCUGCCGUGCCAUGCCGCUUGGUACACCGCGCGCCGAGACCAAAGGCAACAAAUGAAACGGGGGACGGAGGAGCAAGCAGAGCAGAGGGCCGGGGCGUGGCAAAGCUCGAUGGGGCCCGCCGCCUCCGCACGUCUCGCGGGGUGGUACUACGCGGCUACGGACCGCAUGGGGCCGCGAAUAAUUAAGCGCGACCUGCCACUGGCAAGGCUCACAUGGGCGGGAUUAUUAGCCCGCCACCGCCACGCCUCCUCCGGCCCCCGCGCACCUACACGAGCACGAGUAAUGGCCACGCGCCGCCACCACCUCACCACCUGGCCUUGCCUGCCUGCCUGCCGAGCUGAGGCCCCGCCCCGCCCCGGUUCCUUCCGUUUCCUCACUUCGCGGCCAGGGCUGCUGCCGCUUCACCUCGCUUGUCCGCUCCGCUCCGCCUCGUCUCGUGCAGUGCCGGGCCGUGGUGCGUGCGAAAAAGGCAAAAGCCGCUCGUCGUCGUCCGGUCCAGCUGCGGCGCGCAUGGGGCCCGGGCCCGUGCCGGUGAAACGUUCUUUGGCCGGAGUAGUAGAAAAAGUUUAGGACUUGUUUAGUUCGUAAAAUUUUUUGUUUUAGGUUACUGUAGCAUUUCGUUUUUAUUUGACAAACAUUGUCCAAUCACGGAGUAACUAGGCUCAAAAUAUUCAUCUUACAAAUUAUAGAUAAACUGUGCAGUUAAUUUUUUUUUGUUUAUAUUUAAUGUUCAAUGCAUGCGACUAAAAAUUUGAUGUGACAUAAAAUCUUAAUUUUUUUUGCAAACUAAGGCCUUGUUUAGAUCCAAAUUUUUUUGGAUUUUGAUACUGUAGCACUUUUGUUUUUAUUUGACAAACGUUAUCCAAUCAUGAAGCAAUUAGGCUUAAAAGAUUCGUCUCGUGAUUUACAAGUAAACUGUGCAAUUAGUUAUCUUUUUUAUCUACAUUUAAUGUUCCAUGCAUGUGCCGCAAGAUUCGAUGUGAUGAAGAAUCUUGUAAAGUUUUGGAUUUUUGGGUGUAUCUAAACGUGACCUUAUUUGUUGCCGGCGCAGAUAAGACGGAAUCUCGGGGACAAUGAAAAUACUACAGCGCCCGCCCGGCCUGUACAAGAGUUGGGCGACGGCGAGUACGUACUGAGCUGUAGCAGCCACUGCUAGACUGAACAGUGGUGCUUCCUACGGUCUACGGAGUAGUAGUGUGCCUGUACCCCGUGCCAGUAGUGUACCGCGUUUCCCGUGGCAGUUUCUCUUAAGAGAGAGAGAGAGAGAGAGCGUACGUACACAGGUAGAGCAGCCGUAUGCCCGUAUGUAUGGCAGAGUGUAAAGUAUCGUCGUAGGAGUAUCUCGGAUGGGGCGGGGGUACCGUACCCAAAAAGACGGAAGGGACGGGGGGAGGCAGCCGCAGCUGGCAGCGCUGGGUUGGUGGGUGGAUCUACCUAUACCUAUCCUAUCAGAUCAGGGGACGGGAUGGGCCCAGGCCCAGCACCGGCGCUGUCACCGCCACCAACGCCUCCACCACCACCCGAUCCAUCCAUCCAUCCAUCAGGGCGGGCGGGCGAGGCGUGCAUGUGAGCAUCAUGUGAUGGAACAAUUCCAUUCCAUUUGGACGCACCCGUGCUUUUUUCCUCUUGUGGUAUCGCCUCCCCACCCUCGCAGUCGCAGUUGCAGACAGAGCAGAGAGCACCCCCCGCGGCCGCCCCCCUCUCGUAAAAAGCAACGCAGCCACAGCACCCCAGCAGGCAGCCACCACCACCACUACUCCACUACCAAUUGUACUGCUACUAGUUAGCUACUGCAGAGUGGUAGUACUCCUAUAUACUAGCAGUACUGUAAAGAGGCCGGGUUAGGAUCUCGCUGGCUCAUCAGAGUUCUUGAUUUGCGACGACGCUAGCUAAUGGCUAAAAGCCAGCCGGUUUGGCAAAGGCAACAACAAACAGGGAGGGGAGUCGUUAUCCAUGAGUUUAUGGCGGGCAUCUGCGAGGUGGAAAAGUUUGGUACACUGCUUUGCGCGGGAGCGAGCACUGGCAUGGUAGCUGUACUGGCCAGGGUACACUACACGUAUUUUUAUGGGUCCUGAGAAAAUGGCAGUACCAGUACGCAAGUACACAGAGUUUUUUUUUUCACAUCAAACGCCGUGCUUUAGUAUUAGUUAGUGAGCCCUGUCAGGAGGGGGGGGGGGGGUCUUAAAUCAACAUUAUGGCACGUCACAUGGCACUAGUGUACCACUACUCCAAAUCCAAUGUAUUUAUGUACCAAUGUCCACAUCCACCACCUCCGCCGGCUGCCAUGCAUGCAUGUCCAUAUAUGCAUGGUAGUAGUGGUUGUGGUAUUUGCGUAGCUGGCUUUGUAGAUCCGAUGCGUACCACCAGCCCAGUAGUGCAAUACAGUACGUGUUGAGCAAUGAGGUGCGUGCCAUGACCAUCAUCGAGCAAGGAUACCUGUCCUGUCCCCUUUUUCCUCCCAUCAAGCACGGCCCCCGCCCCUACACACACGCUGCUUGUACCGCAACAGAGGCGUACCCUUCAAGUCUCCCUUUCCCUAUCCAUCUCUCUCAGAUGCAGCUGGCCAGGUGCAGCGGGUAGCCAGGUUAUUUUCUAGCUAGCUGAUUCAGCAGCCAGCUAGCUAUAGCCUCGUUUGAGCCCCAACCGGUGCGUCAAGCCUCGCCCUGGCUUUCACUGAACAUGCCACACAACACAUGCAGGCGAUACACGCAUGAAGCUAGCAGAGCAGCGAGGAGAUGGGCCGGAGUGGAACGCAUGCAUGCAUGCAUGCAUAUGGUCGCGUUGGGGCCGGGCCAUGCCACAGCCAGUUGUGUGCUGUGCCCGGCCUGUGCGCUCCCAUUAGCGGCAACCAGAUCUGCACAUUUUCGGGCAACAGAGCUGGCAUGAUGCGUGUCGUACUUGCACACUACCCGGGCCCCCGUCGUCUUCGUCGCCACCGCCCAGCCGGCCGGUGGCAGAUCGAUGGAUCCCGGGCGGAACGGAAGGAUCAUCGGAAGACGGGAAGAGCUUUUCGCGGUCGGUCGGUCGCGCGGCCGACCACCAUGAUCUCGACGCGAUGGUUCCUUCGGUGCUAGCUAGGGCGGGGCGGGCCUCGCGCGGCACAGUUUGGCUCGUCGCUUGGUCCGCGGGCGCAUCACAUGACGCAUGUUGGGUACUUCGAUCUGGCUAUCUCGAUCUCAACGGAAAGCUAGCGACGGGACAGGGUCGCGGACUGGUGAUACAUCCUUGUUACGGCGGCGUUUCGGCCGGACGGGAGGGGACUGCGGCCGUGCAACAGCAAACACUCCUGCCUCUCGUUCCUGCAGGUGUAGGGCGGCUGUAGGAUUCAAGUCCUGCCUGCCAGAAAAACACACGCGCCUCCGUUUCAAGACUGCUACAGCAAGGCACAACCGAUGCUCGUUUCCCAGGGUACAGGUACAGGUACAGGUACAGCAAGCAGCCAGCAGCGCAUGCAUGUAGAAGGAGAGGUCAGAGAUGUCGCGGCGAGACAACAAACAAAAGCUCACGCUGUUGACGUGAACGAUCCGGGCAUGCAUGCAUGCACGCACGCAUACGGACGCAGCAACAGACGGGGAAUUCUCCGGUUCUCCCACCCUGCCCCUUGUACUCUCCACGCACGCCACUGCCCACUGCCCCCUGGCCUGACAUCACCGGAACGCCCAGGCCACCAGAAAAAAAGGGGUCCAGAAAAACCCCCACAGCCACAGGGAUAGGGGUCAAACGGCCGGCCGCUGUAACUUUCACCCAGGGCCCGGCCGGACGGCCGGCAGGGCGGCGGCGGCUUUCGUGCUGAGGUCAAAGCAAAAGGGACGCUCGAUCGAAUCAAACGUAGCCGGCCGGCGGCCGCUUCAUUAAACUAGUAGUCCGAAAUUCACCGGCCCCGGGCGCCACCGCAACCGGUCGCCGGCCACUCGCGUCGCGAGCCCUGCCUGUCACCUCCUCGCGCGGCGGCGACUGCUCCCGCUUUGACCGCGGGAGGCGGAUUAGCGUAGGGAGUGGUGGAUUAGGGCGCUGGGAUGUUAAAAGAGGAGACGUGGGUGCAGUGUAAACAAGCCAACUUUCCCGUUUACCGGGGCGGUAACUUUACCGCCAUGACAAGACAGCAGUCCUUAUCCACAACGGACACCCUGGCACCCGGAUUGAAUACAAUAUAUAUGGAUGGAUGGGAGUCAUAAAAGUUUAUUAUUAGUACUACUAGUAGUAAAAUACUCUGCUGCUCAGGUAUUUCCAGAAUUUGCUUCAGAGCCAAGAUAUAUAUAUAAAAGGAAAAAUGCUUGCUGCUCUCCGGGCGGCUGCUGCUGCUCACUCUCUCAGGUCAAAUCACCUUUGAUUAUGCGUCCCACAUUACAUUAUUAUCGCAAAAGAUAAUGUACCAAUAAUGUAAGCUGCCAGCCAGAGAAGGAAAAAAAAACCACGCGCGCAGAGAGAGAGGUCGAUGGCAAUGCGUUGUCGCUUUUCGUUUCUGUCGCGUUUCAACGUGGGGUAAAAAUGGUCGUGCUGCGUUGGCCUACCACGCCCUUGGCUUUCGGUCAUCGCCCACUUUGGGUCUUGUUUACUUGCAAAAAAUUUUGCAAAAUAUAAAUAGUAGCGUUUUCGUUUGUAUUUGAUAAAUAUUGUCUAAUUAUAAACUAACUAGGCUCAAAAGAUUCGUCUCGUCAAUUACGACCAAACUGUGCAAUUAGUUUUUAUUUUUAUCUAUAUUUAAUACUUUAUACAUACGUCUAAAGAUUCGAUGUAAUGGAAAAUCUAAAAAAUUUUGCAAAAUUUUUUAGAAGUAAACAAGGCACAUGGUUGGAGAUUCUUUUCCGCCCCCAGCCCCAGCCCCGUCCCGUCCCCCCUCCCCUCCACCACCACUCCACGUCCACGCCCUGAAUCCUAGAGAGAGGGAGGCCAGCCAGCCAGUCGCAAGUACACUGUGAAAAAAACAUUCCAUUAUAACAACAGAGAAAAAAAAAAAGUGGGAUGGCAAGCCAAGUACAAGCUCUGCGACGUGUUCAGCUGCUGGAUCUAUCCACGUACGUGCGCGCCAGUGCAAUCCAUUAUCUAGCAGUACUAUUUAUUUGAGAUUCUCCCAUUUCUGACACAGGAUAUAUAUAUACAUGCAUUUUGAUUGAAUCAUCUAAAAUCACACAGGUUUUGAAAUCCCUGCGAUGGCCGGCCCUUAGAGCCGCCAAUAGGCACCGUCCAGAUCCAACCAAUCGGUUAAACUCUUUUUUUGAGUCUCAAAUUACGAGGCAGGAGGAGCCGUCCAAUGGGAAGGUGACAAUUUUUAUUUAAAAACGCAACUGGCUGAUUUUCGAGAUAACAGUGGGAUUAAGCAUGGUAACCGAGGUAACAGUAAAAGCGUAGAAAAGGGUAAAGGUAACUAGCGAGCGAUUUGGCACUCCAACCCCGGGGCUAAGCACAUGGGUGUCCCGUCCAUAUAUAUACGCCUUUCCCCCCCCACCGGCUGCAGGCCUCGCCCCCCAUGCCCUCCCCGUCUCACUGACGGUGGCCCCCCACCCGCCCGGCCCCGCUCGUCGGCGAGCCCCUUCCCUUCCUUCCCCCUCGCUCCAUCGGACCACCGCUGUCCCGGGCAAGAGAUCCGGCCAACUCAGGUGAGCUCUCUCGCCGCGCGCCCGGCGCCGCCCGCCGAGCGGGCGGUCGCCACAUUUUCGUUCGCUUUUUUUUGGGCGAGGUGACGGUGACGCGGAGUGUAACCGCUUUCCUCGUCGUCCGUACCUCGCAGGUUGCUCGGAAGGCCGGCGAGCCGCGCGUGCUGGGCGCCGGGAUGCAGGCGGCCGGCGCCAGCCGGUGGCCCGGAUCUCGCCGGCGGCGCGUCUCGGCGAGGUGAGGCGGCUCAAUUCUCUCGUGUUCAUCUCUUUUCGUUUCCGUUCCAAAGCGGGGUGCCGUUUUUUUUCGGGUUGUUAUUGUUGUCUGUUAGUAUUAUUAGUUUUUUUCCUUUGCUCUUAUCGGUUUCAGAGUGUGUGCAAACUGAAACCGAAGUGGUGAGCUGCAAAGAAACUUAUCUUUUGCUGGCGGCGUAGUUCCUUCUGGUGGAGGUCUGGACUCUGGAGACAAUGGCAGUGAAUUGGUUGGGGAAAGGUGUUUGUUUCCUUUCUCCUUUGGGAGGUGGAGUGGGUUGGAGCCAGAGAGUCCCUGAUUUUUAGUGCAUUUUGUUGUAGAGUAGCCACAUGGUCUGUGUUGUUUUCUGCUGGUUGAUGAACCGAUUUUCAGUUUGAAAAUAGGGUGGUACUUUGACGGCAUCUUGUAAAUCUUUGCUAGUUUCUUCCAUGUUCGUAGAGUGAAGUCUUUUGGCCUUCUGCCUUGCGUCUGGAACGAUAAUAAUGACUAAGGCCUUGUUUAGUUCACCCUGAAAACCAAAAAGUUUUCAAGAUUCCCCGUCACAUCGAAUCUUAUGGCACAUACAUGAAACGUUAAAUAUAGACGAAAACAAAAACUAAUUACACAGUUUAACUGGAAAUCACGAGACGAAUCUUUUGAUCUUAGUUAGUUCAUGAUUGGAUAAUAUUUGUCACAAACAAACGAAAUUGCUACAGUACCCAAAAAAAACUUAAACAAAGCCUAAUGGAAUCAGCGGGGGAGCAUCCGUAUAUUUUAUUUUCUUCAGUUUUGAGACAAUGAUAGCAGAAAUGUGCCAAGUAAAGGGCUCUCCCAUCUCCGCAUUUCUUUUGGGAAACUUGUUUAAGACUGUAUGCGCAUUAAGCUUUGUUAAACGAGGAAUCAGUCGAGUUAGCAUUGUGUUGGAUUUUUUUUUUAAUCUUGUCCACCUGUUUUGUUACAAAUGUAGCCUAGUCAUGGUAACGACUCAUCAUGUGCUUGCUCUUGUGUGAUUUAUUGAUUGAUUGAUAUGAUCUGACUGAAUUAGGAGUCUGUCGUGCAGCAGUAUUCUUGCUGCCUUCCUGAUACUGUUAUCAACAACGAAAGAAGAGUAGCUUUACAUCAAAGAAAAUUUGUAUGGGAGAUUAUCUUUGAGAUUUUUAGCGCUGUAGUUUAGAAUUUUAGUUGAUUCUGGAUACGGCAUAGGUUGAGAUCAGCAAUGAAGAUAUGUCUUAGCAAGCGUUCAAAUAUGAAGUUAGUUUUUUUGUGGCCUAGUAUCUGCCAUGGAAGUAUAAGUAUCUUGUAUCUAUUAUAUACUCUGCUUUUAAUCCACAAUUUGUGUGAAACUUAUCAAAGAACGUUAUGCAUUUUCUGAUAGUUUGUCUCUUGAUUUUUCCAGUGUGGGCCUCUGAACUUUCUGACCUUGAGUCCUCGAUUUUGUCAUAGAUCAGACAAAUAAUGGAAGAGUUACAAGAUUGCAACUCGAAAUGCCUGGUUGCCCUCCCGGGCUCUUUGGUUCUGCAUCUCUUUAGGCUGUUUGGCCAGCAGGAUCAGAGUUCAUGGCAGAAGUACAUACUAGCUUACUUUCUGUUGGUCAGGAAUGACUACUUCUCUGGGGAGUCGAAGAAACACUCAGAUGUGUUCUGUGAUAUUUCAGAAUUAGAUUUCUUUCCAUAUGCUACAGAUUUGGAUAGUGAAGAACUUGAACUGAAGGAGCAGAAACCUAUUUCGAAGGCUCAAUCAGGAGGUGAUUCAAGUAGCAACAGAUCAAAUGAUUGCUACUUCCCAGGCCUUCAUGAUGACCUGUCUCAAGACUGCCUUGCUUGGGCAAGCAGAUCAGACUACCCUUCCCUUUCUUGUCUGAACAAAAGAUUCAAUUUGUUAAUUAACAGUGGAUAUCUGUACAAACUGAGAAGGAAAUAUGGCAUCGUUGAGCACUGGGUGUAUCUCGCUUGUAGCUUGAUGCCCUGGGAAGCAUUUGAUCCUUUGCGGAAGCGGUGGAUGAGGCUCCCAAGAAUGCCAUGCGACGAGUGCUUCUCCUGUGCAGAUAAGGAAUCACUUGCCGUCGGAACACAGCUGCUUGUCUUUGGCCGUGAAUAUACUGGCCUUGCUAUUUGGAUGUACAACUUACUGACUCGCAGUUGGUCCCCAUGCACUCCAAUGAAUCUGCCCCGCUGCCUUUUUGCCUCGGGAAGCUCAGGUGAGAUUGCUAUUGUUGCUGGUGGGUGUGAUAAGGAUGGACAGGUGCUGAGAUCUGUUGAGUUGUACAACUCAGAGAUUGGCCACUGGGAGACUAUCCCAGACAUGAACCUGCCCAGGCGGCUCUCUUCAGGUUUCUUCAUGGAUGGCAAGUUUUACGUUAUUGGGGGUGUAUCGAGUCAGAGGGAUUCAUUGACUUGUGGAGAGGAAUAUAACCUUGAAACAAGGACCUGGAGAAGAAUACUUGAUAUGUACCCUGGUGGAACCAGUGCAUCUCAAUCGCCUCCCCUUGUUGCUGUUGUGAAUAACCAGCUCUAUGCUGCUGAUCAGUCAACAAAUGUGGUCAAGAAGUAUGACAAGGUAAAUAACGCCUGGAACAUAGUGAAGCCAUUGCCUGUUAGAGCUGACUCAUCCAAUGGUUGGGGUCUAGCUUUCAAGGCUUGUGGCGAUAGAUUGCUAGUAAUUGGAGGGCAUAGAGGACCUCGUGGCGAGGUAAUACUGCUGCAUUCCUGGUGCCCCGAAGGUGGGGAAGAUGGUGCUGACUGGGAGGUUCUAUCGGUGAAGGAACGUGCAGGCGUCUUCGUUUACAACUGUGCAAUAAUGGGGUGCUGAGUUACCUUUGCUUCAGUACAUGCCGCUGGUUUAGAAAGCCAACCAUUUCUUGCUGCCAUUUAGCUACCCUUUAUAAUGACUUGUAAUUCAGAAAUGACACACCCCCCAUUUCGCCGAGCUCUCAGUUGAUGAAUGUUUUGUAGAGAGCAUAGAGCAUUGAGUUCAGUUUACCUGGAACUACUCUUUUUCUGUUAAACUCGUUCAGAAUUCUUUGUUCUUGUCCAGUAUGAAUUUUAUGCAGUAUUCUUUAUUCACCAUUGUUGGAAAAUUUAUCUGCGUCAUUGUCCUGAGACAAAUCUUAGGCCUCGAUUUUCAAUGCACCGUACUUCCGUACUGAUAUUCAGAAAUCUUGUAGUCAGCGCAAACAACAGUCAGAAGUCAGAACUUUGUUGUGUGCAAUACUUUCAGAUUUAUAUUAGCCAUACUUUCGUAUUAUCCUAUAAUUCGAUUAUUCUGUUCACACCUAAAUUUUAAUUGCAAAAGUUUGACCAGUGA